Molecule: ribosomal RNA, 631 nt
Filed under: uncultured Cortinarius
Lineage: Eukaryota; Fungi; Basidiomycota; Agaricomycetes; Agaricales; Cortinariaceae
Description: eukaryotic LSU rRNA
Rfam family: 5.8S ribosomal RNA (bases 232-385)
Source: RNAcentral
CUUGGUCAUUUAGAGGAAGUAAAAGUCGUAACAAGGUUUCCGUAGGUGAACCUGCGGAAGGAUCAUUAUUGAAAUAAACCUGAUGGGUUGUUGCUGGUUCUCUAGGGAGCAUGUGCACACCUUGUCAUCUUUAUAUCUCCACCUGUGCACCUUUUGUAGACCUUUCAGGUCUAUGUUGCUUCAAUUACCCCAAUGUAUGUUAAUAGAAUGUUGUGCCUAUAUAAUAUAUACAACUUUCAGCAACGGAUCUCUUGGCUCUCGCAUCGAUGAAGAACGCAGCGAAAUGCGACAAGUAAUGUGAAUUGCAGAAUUCAGUGAAUCAUCGAAUCUUUGAACGCACCUUGCGCUCCUUGGUAUUCCGAGGAGCAUGCCUGUUUGAGUGUCAUUAAUAUAUCAACCUUCUCUUUUUGAGUGGUUUGGAUGUGGGGGUUUGCUGGCCUCUUAAAAAGGUCUUGGCUCUCCUGAAAUACAUUAGCAGAACAACCCUGUUCAUUGGUGUGAUAACUAUCUACGCUAUUGAAUGUGAAGGGCUGUUUGGCUUUCUAACAGUCCUUGGACAAGCUCAUCAUUAACGUGACCUCAAAUCAGGUAGGACUACCCGCUGAACUUAAGCAUAUCAAUAAGCGGAGGA